ACGGGUGAGUAACGCGUAGGUAACCUGCCUGGUAGCGGGGGAUAACUAUUGGAAACGAUAGCUAAUACCGCAUAAAAUUGAUUAUUGCAUGAUAAUUAAUUGAAAGAUGCAAUUGCAUCACUACCAGAUGGACCUGCGUUGUAUUAGCUAGUUGGUGAGGUAACGGCUCACCAAGGCGACGAUACAUAGCCGGCCUGAGAGGGUGGACGGCCACAUUGGGACUGAGAUACGGCCCAGACUCCUACGGGAGGCAGCAGUAGGGAAUCUUCGGCAAUGGGGGCAACCCUGACCGAGCAACACCGCGUGAGUGAAGAAGGUUUUCGGAUCGUAAAGCUCUGUUGUAAGUCAAGAACGAGUGUGAGAGUGGAAAGUUCACACUGUGACGGUAGCUUACCAGAAAGGGACGGCUAACUACGUGCCAGCAGCCGCGGUAAUACGUAGGUGGCGAGCGUUGUCCGGAAUCAUUGGGCGUAAAGGGAGCGCAGGCGGGCAUGUAAGUCUUUCUUAAAAGUGCGGGGCUCAACCCCGUGAUGGGAAAGAAACUAUGUGUCUUGAGUACAGGAGAGGAAAGCGGAAUUCCCAGUGUAGCGGUGAAAUGCGUAGAUAUUGGGAGGAACACCAGUGGCGAAGGCGGCUUUCUGGACUGCAACUGACGCUGAGGCUCGAAAGCCAGGGGAGCGAACGGGAUUAGAUACCCC
Molecule: ribosomal RNA, 698 nt
Filed under: uncultured bacterium
Lineage: Bacteria
Description: bacterial SSU rRNA
Rfam family: Bacterial small subunit ribosomal RNA
Source: RNAcentral